This 263-nucleotide long non-coding RNA is filed under the name Dromaius novaehollandiae (emu). RNAcentral's name for it is "Prostate androgen-regulated transcript 1 conserved region 2 (ENSDNVG00000017164.1)". It matches the Rfam family "Prostate androgen-regulated transcript 1 conserved region 2". Lineage: Eukaryota; Metazoa; Chordata; Aves; Casuariiformes; Dromaiidae. The record is from RNAcentral.
AUGCAUGCUGUGCUAUAAUUUAUGAAACUGAGCCCAGGAAGCAAGCAAUCAGUUAGCUCCUCCUAACAAGUCCAACUGGCUACAAAAAGCUGGAAGGGCUGCACAGAACAAUGAAGAGGAGCUAUCCCACAUAUUAAUCUGCUUAUCUAGGAUUGCUUUCUGUGUAGAGGGAGGGAAACCCGAAACAAGGCAGGCGCGCAGGGCGGGGCAGUGGGGGGAAAAUCACAGCUUCGCUGUUCAAACAGCAGAAUAAUUUCAAUCAA